Molecule: unclassified non-coding RNA, 1811 nt
Filed under: Drosophila mojavensis
Lineage: Eukaryota; Metazoa; Arthropoda; Insecta; Diptera; Drosophilidae
Description: GI20328
Source: RNAcentral
GGUCUCACAGUUAGCCACGGACAGUUCCUAACGCAACAAAAUGGCGGCAGAUCGAGAAUUUUUCAAUGAGAUUAUCAAUAAUAUAGACGAUAUAUUCGUGCCCGAUGAUCUGCACAGCGCUCGUCGUGAGCUCCAGGAUGGCGAAAUUGCGCGAACUCUCGAACGUUGCUACAGCGUCAUUACCGAGUCCGGGAAGCUGUUGAGCGCCUCGACCGUCUCGGCCUUGUCGCAUCGCAAGCCCUUGAGUGCCUCCUCGCUGCAGCUGUCCGUGACGAGCUAUUUGAGUCGGUUCCUCAAGCGGCCCGUCUACGAGAAGAUAAAGCGCCGGCAAACGCGCCUGGAUCACAAUCUCUUCGAUGUGCUGUGGCCGGCGAUGCGCAAGACGUCGAAGCUGCGCCACCUGGAGGAGGACAUCAAUUGUGGCAUUAUAGCGCCCGAUUUCGAUGUGUUUGUGGUGUUUCAGGAGUUUCUGGUGCCGCUGCUCAAGGACAUGCACUGCCUGAGCAUCGAUGCGGAAUUCAAGCCGCAUCCGCGACUCGCCUACUUUCCCAUGGACAACGGCGAGCGUCUGAAUACGGCCGCAUUUGUCUACGACGACGAGUCGCAGCUGGUGACGCGUUGCAUUGUGGAGGCAUCACGGAAUCUGGACCAACUGGAGCUGCCCCUCAAUCUGACCAUUGGCCAGAUCGAGCAGGCCGAACGCCUCAUGAUGGGCCGCAUAUUUACGGCCAGCUUUGCCGAGGCCAUUGGCGAAACGGAAUCGGGCAGCUACUAUACGCUGACAGAGCUCAUGGAGCCGGACUCGGAGGUGGCCAAGCUGCUGGGCAGCCUGGGUCUAAUGAUACCCCUGCUCGAUGACAAGGAUCUGGUGCAGGCAGCCGAGUCGACGGCCUUCAAUGGCGCACUGUGGCCCUAUGGCCGCGGUGUCUACGUCAACUCCGCCCACAAUAUGGCGCUGUGGCUCAACUGUCAGGAGCAUCUGCGCGUCAUCUCGGCCAGCAGUGCCAAGGAUCCGGCGGAUAUGGGCGCCGCCUACACCCGGGUGGGUCGCGCCGUCACCUAUCUGGAGACACAGCUGCACUUCAAGGAGAGCUAUCUGCUGGGCUAUCUGCAGUCGCGGCCAGCCUAUCUGGGCACUGGCCUCAAGAUGACCACCAUUGUGAAGCUGCCCAAUCUGAUGAAGGAGCUGGAUAACUUGCGUCACCUGUGCUCCGUGCGCGGCCUGAGCAUGGUGACCAAUCGCCUGUCCAAGCUGACCGUGCGCUUGAUCAACAUGCAGAGCAUGGGCGUUGUGGAGUAUGUCCUGUUCCAGGACUAUUGCACCGCCGUCACCAACAUCCUGUCGCUGGAGAAGGACAUGUCGCUGACGAACUCCAAGCAUAUUGCCACCAUGCUGGUGAAGAUCUUCAAGCGCAAAAAGAAUAGCAUUAUCGAUCGAAACUAAUCAAAGAAACCAACCGCAAAAGAAACCAAAUGAAAAGCACAAUUCAUACAUUAAUCAAAUUCAAUUUGUAUUGUAAAUACAACCGAGCACAGCAAAGUAAAACUACUCAAAUUGUAAUAUAUAUAUAUAGAUAAACAUAUAUACAGCUACUCGAUCGAUACAUAGAGCUUACAAGCAAACAAACAAAAUAAAAUAAAUCGUUUUAAUUAAAUACCAAAAACCACAUCCUCAGCUUCGGCCGCAACGUCGCACGCAAAAAGUUUUCAUGAGAUACACGUCAGUCGCAGCCCGUUACCUUUCAGGCCAAUCCCAUCUUCAAGACGGAACAGGGCAAAUAUCUGGCAGACACUCUCGCCGAUCCAUUGAU